RNAcentral lists this transfer RNA (59 nucleotides) under Vitis vinifera (wine grape). It matches the Rfam family "tRNA", at positions 6 to 65 of the family's 71-position model. Rfam says of the family: Transfer RNA (tRNA) molecules are approximately 80 nucleotides in length. Lineage: Eukaryota; Viridiplantae; Streptophyta; Magnoliopsida; Vitales; Vitaceae. The record is from Rfam by way of RNAcentral.
UAUAGCUUAGUGGUAGAGCAUUUGACUGUAAAUCAAGAGGUCACUAGUUCAAUUUGUUA